GGGCAAAUAGCGUAGUGGUUAUCGCGCUCGCUUUGCAUGCGAGAGGUCCCCGGUUCAAUCCCGGGUUUGUCCA
This 73-nucleotide transfer RNA is filed under the name Omphalotus olearius VT 653.13. Its description in RNAcentral is "tRNA-Ala (TGC) (tRNA-Ala-TGC-1-1)". It matches the Rfam family "tRNA". From Rfam's summary of the family: Transfer RNA (tRNA) molecules are approximately 80 nucleotides in length. Their secondary structure includes four short double-helical elements and three loops (D, anti-codon, and T loops). Lineage: Eukaryota; Fungi; Basidiomycota; Agaricomycetes; Agaricales; Omphalotaceae. The record is from RNAcentral.